UACGUAGGGGGCAAGCGUUGUCCGGAUUUAUUGGGCGUAAAGAGCGUGUAGGCGGUUCGGUAGGUCCGUUGUGAAAACUCGAGGCUCAACCUCGAGACGCCGAUGGAAACCAUCUGACUAGAGUCCGGAAGAGGAGAGUGGAAUUCCUGGUGUAGCGGUGAAAUGCGCAGAUAUCAGGAAGAACACCGGUGGCGAAGGCGGGUCUCUGGGCAGUAACUGACGCUGAGGAGCGAAAGCGUGGGGAGCAAACAGG
Molecule: ribosomal RNA, 253 nt
Filed under: uncultured bacterium
Lineage: Bacteria
Description: partial 16S ribosomal RNA
Rfam family: Bacterial small subunit ribosomal RNA
Source: RNAcentral